RNAcentral lists this ribosomal RNA (492 nucleotides) under uncultured bacterium. RNAcentral describes it as "partial 16S ribosomal RNA". It matches the Rfam family "Bacterial small subunit ribosomal RNA", at positions 29 to 507 of the family's 1533-position model. The record is from RNAcentral.
AGUGAACGCUGGCGGUAGGCCUAACACAUGCAAGUCGAACGGCAGCACAGUAAGAGCUUGCUCUUACGGGUGGCGAGUGGCGGACGGGUGAGGAAUACAUCGGAUUCUACUUUUUCGUGGGGGAUAACGUAGGGAAACUUACGCUAAUACCGCAUACGACCUACGGCUGAAAGCAGGGGAUCUUCGGACCUUUCGCGAUUGAAUGAGCCGAUGUCGGAUUAGCUAGUUGGCGGGGUAAAGGCCCACCAAGGCGACGAUCCGUAGCUGGUCUGAGAGGAUGAUCAGCCACACUGGAACUGAGACACGGUCCAGACUCCUACGGGAGGCAGCAGUGGGGAAUAUUGGACAAUGGGCGCAAGCCUGAUCCAGCCAUACCGCGUGGGUGAAGAAGGCCUUCGGGUUGUAAAGCCCUUUUGUUGGGAAAGAAAAGCAGCAGGUUAAUACCCCGCUGUUCUGACGGUACCCAAAGAAUAAGCACCGGCUAACUUCGUG